RNAcentral lists this ribosomal RNA (726 nucleotides) under uncultured archaeon. Its description in RNAcentral is "bacterial SSU rRNA". It matches the Rfam family "Archaeal small subunit ribosomal RNA", at positions 71 to 800 of the family's 1478-position model. The record is from RNAcentral.
GCGGGAAUUCGAUUACCGCUCAGUAACACGUAGUCAACAUAACCAAAGGACGUGGAUAAACUCGGGAAACUGAGGCUAAACCGCGAUAGAUCAAGAUAUCUGGAAUGGUUUUUGAUCAAAAUCUAUAUGGCCUUUGGAUUGGACUGCGUCCGAUCAGGCUGUUGGUGAGGUAAUGGCCCACCAAACCUGUAACCGGUACGGGCUCUGAGAGGAGGAGCCCGGAGAUGGGUACUGAGACAAGGACCCAGGCCCUAUGGGGCGCAGCAGGCGCGAAACCUCUGCAAUAGGCGAAAGCCUGACAGGGUUACUCUGAGUGACUUUCGCUAAGAAAGUCUUUUGACACCUCUAAAAAUGGUGUAGAAUAAGGGGUGGGCAAGUCUGGUGUCAGCCGCCGCGGUAAUACCAGCACCCCGAGUGGUCGGGACGAUUAUUGGGCCUAAAGCAUCCGUAGCCGGUUUUACAAGUCCUCCGUUAAAUCCAGCUGCUUAACAGAUGGGCUGCGGAGGAUACUAUAAGACUAGGAGGCAGGAGAGGCAAGCGGUACUCAGUGGGUAGGGGUAAAAUCCGUUGAUCCAUUGAAGACCACCAGUGGCGAAGGCGGCUUGCCAGAAUGCGCUCGACGGUGAGGGAUGAAAGCUGGGGGAGCAAACCGGAUUAGAUACCCGGGUAGUCCCAGCUGUAAACGAUGCAGACUCGGUGAUGGACUAGCUUUAUGCUAGUCCAGUG